GUAUUAGUUAACUGUCAAAUGAAAUUAGAUCAACGGUAGACUUUUUUGUCGAUGGGUAUGGCUGCCAUGUUUGGAUUUAUGACAUUUGAAAGGGGAUCCUAAGGCAGAGAGUAGUUUUUUCUGUACGAUUUUGAUUCUUCUACUCGACGCAAGAUGGAGUUAGCUGCCAAAUUCCGAUCUUGGCGUUAUAAAAAUAUACCGCAAGAACCAUGACAAUGACAUGCAGUUGCGUCGAUGUAGAUCUAUCAUAAAAACGUACAUGUGACAAUUGUCCAGGAUUUAAAAAAAUCUUGACAAUUAAUAAAUGUCAAAAAGAAAACUGAUUUAUUAUAAAAAUACAAAUUAUAUAUAAAGUUUGAUUUUAAAACCAAUGAUCGUGGGUCCUAACCCCGGCUCUUAACAAUGAACAUCUUGUAACUUGUGUGCAAAAUAUCAUUUAACUUUUACCAAUUACUUUUCGGUUAAAUAAAAUAUCACGAGGAAGAAGUAGCCCCAAUAAGGUGUUAUCAAGAAAAAAGGUCUUAACAGAUUUAUGAAUAGGCAUUGGCAGAAAAACAGGCGUCCGACCACGCAUAAUGGAGGAUUCUAUUUCUUUUAUCAUGUAGCUAUAUCUAUAUGACCUCUGCCGCCUACUUUUUCACCCGUUGGCGCCUGUGCCUAAAUCCUUCUAAGACCGAAGUUUGCUGUUUCCACCUGUCCAAUAAGCUGGCACAUAAGACCCUCAGAGUUAGAUUCCGGGGUACAGCCUUACAACAUAACUAUUCCCCAAAGUAUCUCGGUGUUACACUGGACAGAAGCCUGACAUACCGAUUGCACAUAGAGAAGCUAAAAAGUAAAAUAAGGACCAGGAUAUUUUAAUUACGAUACAUAAAUAACUACUAAAACAUGUUUUCUGCAAGAAAUUAGUUAUCUUAUUAUAUUAUAAAAUAUUUAUUAUCCA
Cydia pomonella (codling moth) is the source of this 940-nucleotide long non-coding RNA. RefSeq lists it as uncharacterized. NCBI's taxonomy places the organism in Eukaryota, Metazoa, Arthropoda, Insecta, Lepidoptera, Tortricidae. The transcript has 2 exons. The record is from RefSeq and is a predicted model, not a curated record.